GUUUGACAAGGCUUUCAUGGAGGCUGAAUCAGUAUUUCCAGGGGUAGUUUUAUGAGCCGAGUGAUAGUUUGACAAGGCUUUCAUUGAGGCUGAAUCAGUACUUCCGGGGGAUAGUUUUAUGAGCCUAGUGAUAGUUUGACAAGGCUUUCAUUGAGGCUGUAUCAGUAUUUCCAGGGGUAGUUUUAUGAGCCGAGUGAUAGUUUGACAAGGCUUUCAUUGAGGCUGUAUCAGUAUUUCCAGGGGUAAUUUUAUGAGCCGAGUGAUAGUUUGACAAGGCUUUCAUUGAGGCUGUAUCAGUAUUUCCAGGGGUAGUUUUAUGAGCCGAGUGAUAGUUUGACAAGGCUUUCAUUGAGGCUGUAUCAGUAUUUCCAGGGGUAGUUUUAUGAGCCGAGUGAUAGUUUGACAAGGCUUUCAUUGAGGCUGUAUCAGUAUUUCCAGGGGUAGUUUUAUGAGCCGAGUGAUAGUUUGACAAGGCUUUCAUUGAGGCAGUAUCAGUAUUUCCAAGCCUAGUUUUAUGAGCCUAGUGAUAGUUUGACAAGGCUUUUGUUGAGGCUGUAUCAGUAUUUCCAGGGGUAGUUUUAUGAGCCUAGUGAUAGUUUGACAAGGCUUUUGUUGAGGCUGUAUCAGUAUUUCCAGGGGUAGUUUUAUGAGCCUAGUGAUAGUUUGACAAGGCUUUCGUAGAGGCUGUAUCAGUAUUUCCAGGGGUAGUUUUAUGAGCCUAGUGAUAGUUUGACAAGGCUUUCAUAGAGGCUGUAUCAGUAUUUCCAGGCCUAGUUUUAUGAGCCUAGUGAUAGUUUGACAAGGCUUUCAUUGAGGCUGUGAGUGUUUCCAAGCCUAGUUUUAUGAGCCUAGUGAUAGUUUGACAAGGCUUCUGUACUGUGAAUGCGAAAAAGUACUCAUUAGAACCCGAUUAAUCACUUUUGUAGCCUUGGGUAAUAGUUUUUGUGAGAGCCGGAGAUGUCUCAGAAUACGUACCUAUGUUUUUGGGGUAUAUAUUAACCAUUCCUGAGUUUACAAAGAGCGACAAGUGGUAAUAAAUGUUGAAGGUUAGGUAGUGAACAGAUUAACUCAUUUUUGAUAGUGCAUAUUUGUGGGGCAUUACAGACUACGGGUAAGUUAGGUAAUACCCCGAGUCUUGUGCCUUGAAUCACCCCUGACAAAUGUUGAUACAGGAGGCUGAGUAUUGAAUAGAUUACGCUCUUUGACAGUGCAUAUUAGGGGGGGCAUUACAGACUAUGGGUAACUUAGGUAAUUCCCCAAGUCUUGUACCAUGAACCACCCCUGACAAAUGCUGAUAUUGGUUAAGUACUGAAUAGAUUACGCUCUUUGACAGUGCAUAUUAGGGGUGCAUUACAGACUAUGGGUAAGUUAAGUAAUUCCCCGAGUCUUGUACCAUCAACCACCCCUGACAAAUGCUGAUAUAGGUUAAGUACUGAAUAGAUUACACUCUUUGACAGUGCAUAUUAGGGGGGGCAUUACAGACUAUGGGUAACUUACGUAAUUCCCUGAGUCUUGUACCAUCAACCACCCCUGACAAAUGCUGAUAUAGGUUAAGUACUGAAUAGAUUACGCUCUUUGACAGUGCAUAUUAGGGGGACAUUAACACUCAUUAGAACCCUGACAGCCUUGGGAAGUAGUCGUGGGAGUCGAAAGCAUCUGAGAAUUCACACCAAAAUCAAACCAGUAUAGCAAUAUGUUAAGGUUAGGGGACACCAGCCUAGAAUAUAAGGUUAUACAUGGGUUAGAGGGACCCCAAAGAGCUGCCCUUAGAAGCACAAGCAACACAACAACAGGGUGUUAAUGUGACAUACAGAACCCAAAGCCCUAGCCAUACGUAUGUUAGCUGCAGGAACCAUUGGGAUAGGAUAGAUAAGCCCCCAAUUUGCACACACCAUCCCAUUUAGUACUCGUAUUAGGAAGGAACGGAGUCGGGAAAUUGAGCUGAGGUGAGCCGUGGGUAGUUAUGUGAUAGAUAGGCCCCCAGUUUGUACACACCACCCCAUUUAGUACUCAUAUUAGGAAGGAACGGAGUCAGGAAAUUGAGCUGAGGUAAGCCGUGGGGAAUUACGUGGUGUUGAAGUAUAGUUUUUUAAUCUUUUUUUGCUUUCUUUUUAUUUUGUACAGUUCUGUUUUCUCUCUGCUAUAAUUUCUUUGUUUCUCUUUUGUUUGGUAUAGUUUUUUGCUCGCAUCAGAAAGGAAACUUGUCUGGAAAAUCAAUGAUGUAGUUUUGUGCAGUUCUGUUUUCUCUCUGCUAUAAUUUCUUUGUUUCUCUUUUGUUUGGUAUAGUUCCUUGCUCGCAUCAAAAAGGAAACUUGUCUGGAAAAUCAAUGAUGUAGUUUUGUGCAGUUCUGUUUUCUCUCUGCUAUAAUUUCGUUGUUUCUCUUUUGUUUGGUAUAGUUUUUUGCUCGCAUCAGAAAGGAAACUUGUCUGGAAAAUCAAUGACGUAGUUUUGUACAGUUCUGUUUUCUCUCUGCUAUAAUUUCUUUGUUUCUUUUUUGUUUGGUAUAGUUCCUUGCUCGCAUCAGAAAGGAAACUUGUCUGGAAAAUCAAUGACGUAGUUUUGUGCAGUUCUGUUUUCUCUCUGCUAUAAUUUCUUUCUUUCUUUUUUGUUUGGUAUGGUUCCUUGCUCGCAUCAGAAAGGAAACUUGUCUGGAAAAUCAAUGACGUAGUUUUGUCCAUCGCUGGAAGGGAUUACGGUUGGAAUGGUGUGUGCAAAUAAACCUGUGCCAUGGAAGAAUCAAAGAACUGGCUCUCAUGAAGUCUAAGUUGAUAUUUUGGGAAGAGACAGGUCUAAAUCUAAGAUAACUUUGUUACCCAACUUAAACAAGCUUAACUUAAAAUUUUUAGUUAACCUAAUCUAGCCUAACUUAAUUAUUGGUUUAUGGAACCUAACCAAACCUAGCCUAACCUAACCUAGUCUAACUUCAAAACGAACUUCAUCUUCUAACCUCACCUAACCUAACUUAACCAAUCCUUUAUGUAACCAAACUUAACAUAACCAAACCCAACAUAAGCUAACCCAACAUAACCUAACCAAAGCUAAUCUAACCUAAGCUAACCAAACCUAACCAAUCCAAAGUUAAACAAACCCCACCCAACCUAAUCUAACCUAACUGAGC
Long non-coding RNA from Eriocheir sinensis (Chinese mitten crab), 3119 nucleotides. RefSeq lists it as uncharacterized. Lineage: Eukaryota; Metazoa; Arthropoda; Malacostraca; Decapoda; Varunidae. The transcript has 3 exons. The record is from RefSeq and is a predicted model, not a curated record.